Molecule: long non-coding RNA, 786 nt
Filed under: Apteryx owenii (little spotted kiwi)
Lineage: Eukaryota; Metazoa; Chordata; Aves; Apterygiformes; Apterygidae
Description: lncRNA (ENSAOWG00000016897.1)
Source: RNAcentral
CCCCAUUCAGCAGUGGGCCCAGACAGGCAACUAUAGUUUUUGUUUAUUGUAUUUCUGUGGACGCAUCUUGGUUCAUUAAGGAAGUUAUCUGUUUCUUAGAUAAUUUGGAAGACCAAAACAGAAUAUGACCUGUAUUUUUUUGUACUUCAUUCUUUCAGUACAGGUUUGAAGAUCCCUGCUAGGAGAGGACAGAAAUGUUCAUUUAUUCUGGCUGAACUAAUGUUAGAGCGUCUAUGAAAGAACACCAGCUUCCCCAGUUACUGAUUUCUUUCCCCAGCUUGCCCAUUCAGUUGUGCUGACACAGCUAAUCCUUGGCCUGUCCUCUGAGUGGCAUCAGCACAGACUCAGAAACCCAAUUAUGUCAUUCUAACUUACAUCAUGGGGUGAAGACAAGCAACCACAGAACAAAACUCCAUAAGGUGCAUUGGUCAUUAAGACUUAUUAACAAGAGCCCAUGAGUCAAGAAAUUAGAAAGGAGGCAGUUGGUUCCUAGUGCAGAGGAAACAUCACCACUCUGCAUAAAUGAAAGAGGAGGCCAGAAGAACAAGUGUGUUUUUCAUAAAGAGUGUUAUUGUUUGAAAGAAGAGAUAUUUCUAUUCUUCCAUGCAUGGGAAAACUGCAACCAAGGUGUAAACUUGGAAGGAGCAUGUUUGGAGAUUUUUCCAGGAUGGACAGAGGAAACCAUACUGAGAAGAAGAAGCAAAACAUGAACUGCUUGUCUCUAUGGGUUGCAGCUGGACAUUUGAGUAGGAGAAAAAAAACUGAAAGGUGAUUACAGAGGAGGAG